UGGUGGGGUGACUUGUCUGCUUAAUUGCGAUAACGAACGAGACCUUAACCUGCUAAGUAGCCCGCAUUGCUCCGGCAGUGCGCUGGCUUCUUAGAGGGACUUUCGGCUCAAGCCGAAGGAAGUUUGAGGCAAUAACA
RNAcentral lists this ribosomal RNA (137 nucleotides) under uncultured eukaryote. RNAcentral describes it as "partial 18S ribosomal RNA". It matches the Rfam family "Eukaryotic small subunit ribosomal RNA", at positions 1299 to 1458 of the family's 1831-position model. The record is from RNAcentral.